Molecule: ribosomal RNA, 253 nt
Filed under: uncultured bacterium
Lineage: Bacteria
Description: partial 16S ribosomal RNA
Rfam family: Bacterial small subunit ribosomal RNA
Source: RNAcentral
UACGGGGGGGGCAAGCGUUGUUCGGAAUUACUGGGCGUAAAGGGCUCGUAGGUGGCCAACUAAGUCAGACGUGAAAUCCCUCAGCUUAACUGGGGAACUGCGUCUGAUACUGGAUGGCUUGAGUUUGGGAGAGGGACGCGGAAUUCCAGGUGUAGCGGUGAAAUGCGUAGAUAUCUGGAGGAACACCGGUGGCGAAGGCGGCGUCCUGGACCAACACUGACGCUGAGGAGCGAAAGCCAGGGGAGCAAACGGG